This 459-nucleotide ribosomal RNA is filed under the name uncultured bacterium. RNAcentral's name for it is "partial 16S ribosomal RNA". It matches the Rfam family "Bacterial small subunit ribosomal RNA", at positions 338 to 795 of the family's 1533-position model. The record is from RNAcentral.
CCUACGGGAGGCAGCAGUGAGGAAUAUUGGUCAAUGGUCGGGAGACUGAACCAGCCAAGCCGCGUGAGGGAGGAAGGUACAGAGUAUCGUAAACCUCUUUUGUCAGGGAACAAAGACUGGGACGCGUCCCCGGAUGAGUGUACCUGAAGAAAAAGCAUCGGCUAACUACGUGCCGGCAGCCGGGGUAAUACGAGGGAUGCGAGCGUUAUCCGGAUUUAUUGGGUUUAAGGGGUGCGCGGGCGGUCUGUUAAGUCAGCGGUCAAAGCCCGGGGCUCAACCCCGGCCCGCCGUUGAAACUGGCAGUCUCGAGUUGGAGAGAGGGAUGCGGAAUGCGCGGUGUAGCGGUGAAAUGCAUAGAUAUCGCGCAGAACUCCGGUGGCGAAGGCAGCAUGCCGGCUCCACACUGACGCUGAGGCACGAAAGCGUGGGUAGCGAACAGGAUUAGAUACCCCUGUAGUC